RNAcentral lists this ribosomal RNA (500 nucleotides) under uncultured Planctomycetota bacterium. RNAcentral's name for it is "bacterial SSU rRNA". It matches the Rfam family "Bacterial small subunit ribosomal RNA", at positions 8 to 524 of the family's 1533-position model. The record is from RNAcentral. Lineage: Bacteria; Pseudomonadati; Planctomycetota.
AGAGUUUGAUCCUGGCUCAGGAUGAACGUUGGCGGCGUGGAUUAGGCAUGCAAGUCGAGCGAGAAGCUUUCAAAAGAUGCCUCGGUUGAUUUUGGAGGUGGACGGCGGUGAAAGGGAGAGUAACGAGUAGAUUACGUACCCGGGGGUUCGGGAUAACGGGGAGAAAUCGCCGGUAAUACCGAAUAAUGUUUCCGAACCAAAGAUUUAUCGCCCUCGGAGCGGUCUGCUUGCUAUUAGGUAGUUGGUGGGGUAAAGGCCCCCCAAGCCAAAGAUGGUUGGCGGGUGUGAGAGCAUGGCCCGUCUCACUGGGACUGGGACACUGCCCAGACACCUACGGGUGGCUGCAGUCGAGAAUCUUCCGCAAUGGACGAAAGUCAGACGGAGCGACGCCGCGUGCGGGAUGAAGGCCUUCGGGUUGUAAACCGCUGUCAUAGGGGAGGAAAUUUUGACCGAUCCUAAGAGGAAGCACAGGCUAAGUUCGUGCCAGCAGCCGCGGUAAU